This 119-nucleotide ribosomal RNA is filed under the name Maylandia zebra (zebra mbuna). The record is from RNAcentral. Lineage: Eukaryota; Metazoa; Chordata; Actinopteri; Cichliformes; Cichlidae.
GCUUAGGGCCAUACCACCCUGAGCAUGCCCGACCUCGUCUGAUCUCGGAAGCUAAGAAGGGCUGUGCUUGGUUAGUACUUGGAUGGGAGACUUCCUUGGAAUACCAGGUGCUGUAAGCC